RNAcentral lists this ribosomal RNA (253 nucleotides) under uncultured bacterium. Its description in RNAcentral is "partial 16S ribosomal RNA". It matches the Rfam family "Bacterial small subunit ribosomal RNA", at positions 524 to 776 of the family's 1533-position model. The record is from RNAcentral.
UACAGAGGUCUCAAGCGUUGUUCGGAUUCAUUGGGCGUAAAGGGCGCGUAGGCGGCGGGGUAAGUCUGGUGUGAAAUCUCGGAGCUCAACUCCGAAAUUGCACUGGAUACUGCUCUGCUUGAGGGUUGGAGAGGAGAUCGGAAUUCACGGUGUAGCAGUGAAAUGCGUAGAUAUCGUGAGGAAGACCAGUGGCGAAGGCGGAUCUCUGGACAAAUCCUGACGCUGAGGCGCGAAAGCGUGGGGAGCAAACAGG